UAGCUAGUUGGUGAGGUAACGGCCCACCAAGGCGACGAUCGGUAGCCGGACUGAGAGGUUGAACGGCCACAUUGGGACUGAGACACGGCCCAGACUCCUACGGGAGGCAGCAGUGGGGAAUAUUGCACAAUGGGGGAAACCCUGAUGCAGCGACGCCGCGUGGAGGAAGAAGGUCUUCGGAUUGUAAACUCCUGUUGUUGAGGAAGAUAAUGACGGUACUCAACAAGGAAGUGACGGCUAACUACGUGCCAGCAGCCGCGGUAAAACGUAGGUCACAAGCGUUGUCCGGAAUUACUGGGUGUAAAGGGAGCGCAGGCGGGAAGACAAGUUGGAAGUGAAAUCCAUGGGCUUAACCCAUGAACUGCUUUCAAAACUGUUUUUCUUGAGUAGUGCAGAGGUAGGCGGAAUUCCCGGUGUAGCGGUGGAAUGCGUAGAUAUCGGGAGGAACACCAGUGGCGAAGGCGGCCUACUGGGCACCAACUGACGCUGAGGCUCGAAAGUGUGGGUAGCAAACAGGAUUAGAUACCCUGGUAGUCCACACCGUAAACGAUGAUUACUAGGUGUUGGAGGAUUGACCCCUUCAGUGCCGCAGUUAACACAAUAAGUAAUCCACCUGGGGAGUACGACCGCAAGGUUGAAACUCAAAGGAAUUGACGGGGGCCCGCACAAGCAGUGGAGUAUGUGGUUUAAUUCGACGCAACGCGAAGAACCUUACCAAGUCUUGACAUCCUGUGACAGACGUAGAAAUACGUUCUUCCUUCGGGACACAGAGACAGGUGGUGCAUGGUUGUCGUCAGCUCGUGUCGUGAGAUGUUGGGUUAAGUCCCGCAACGAGCGCAGCCCUUAUGGUCAGUUACUACGCAAGAGGACUCUGGCCAGACUGCCGUUGACAAAACGGAGGAAGGUGGGGAUGACGUCAAAUCAUCAUGCCCUUUAUGACUUGGGCUACACACGUACUACAAUGGCGUUAAACAAAGAGAAGCAAGACCGCGAGGUGGAGCAAAACUCAGAAACAACGUCCCAGUUCGGACUGCAGGCUGCAACUCGCCUGCACGAAGUCGGAAUUGCUAGUAAUCGUGGAUCAGCAUGCCACGGUGAAUACGUUCCCGGGCCUUGUACACACCGCCCGUCACACCAUGAGAGCCGGGGGGACCCGAAGUCGGUAGUCUAACCGCAAGGAGGACGCCGCCGAAGGUAAAACUGGUGAUUGGGGUGAAGUCGUAACAAGGUAA
RNAcentral lists this ribosomal RNA (1232 nucleotides) under metagenome. RNAcentral's name for it is "bacterial SSU rRNA". It matches the Rfam family "Bacterial small subunit ribosomal RNA", at positions 242 to 1499 of the family's 1533-position model. The record is from RNAcentral.